CAGCUGGAAAAUACAUAGAUAUUUGUCACUGCAUCUUAUAUGAACACCUUAUACAUUUUCUAAACUGAACAAAACUGCGAGAUCAUGCAAAAUAUUGAUCACUGACAAUAGAAUUCAAAAGCUCGAGUGAUGCGGAAAGAAAUGCCGAUCACUCCAAGCUUAUACAUCUAUAUCACGCAGGAUGUAAAAUCACAUAUUAACUACGGUUCUUGAAAUAUAAUAAUAUGAAGUACAGAAGUAUAUAAAAUGUAUUUGAGAGACAUAAAUUUGCUAUCAGACGCUACACAUGAACUUGCUGUAUAAGGAAAAAGAAAAAUUCCCAUAAAAAUGUAUAUUGACAACCAGAAUAUUUAUAUGAAGCAAAUUUAGCAAGGGAAUAUUUGAUUUAAUGCCUGGAGAAGUACGUUACUAAAAUUCUGUAAAAUUAAGUGUUCUGUUUUCUAUAACUAAAAUGUACAUUCUCAAAAGAAUGUUUUGAAGAUGGAAAUAAAAAGGAAAAUUUCCAAGAGGAAGAGGAAGAUCAAGAUGGUAACAACAGAUUAGGAAAGAUGUCAUACAAAAGAAGAAACAAUGUGAGAAGUCUAACAUUUUGGGUUCUCACAACAUUGAGCAUGAAAAUGACCGUGUUCUGGAAUAUCGCGCUGUGAAAUUUGGUAGAAGUUUACCGACAUUUCAGAGUUGCUUACUGCCUCAAUCACUGCAGCCAUCAUGUGAGAAUAAAUUGAAGAGGAGCCAUGGGAAGAGAUUGAUUGUCAGAUGACCCACAUAAAUGGAAACAUCUUUGGAAGAAGACGUAGUAGUAGAAGUAGGAAAAGAACUACAUACACUAAUCAGGCAUGUUUCAGUUAUUCUGUUUCAGAACUCCUUGUCCAGGCUACUGGCCCAUUGCGAAGCUCCUACCUAACGGAGAAAUUCCCCAACUAAUACUUAAAUCUGCAAUCCAUGUUCAAGCAAUCCAAGACCACAAAUGGCAAUGCCGAAAAAGAUGGACAUGACGAUAUAUCCAGAAUAGGUGCUGCAAAAGGGAGUGGAUGCAACAGCCAGGGUGCUCACCACCAGGCAGAUGUUAUUCAGUAAUAAAGCGUCCACCCACGGGAAGUCUGCCACAUAGCCACAAACAACCCUGCCAAUGGUGUUUGUGAUACCGAUGAUGGACAGGAGGAAUGAAGCAGAGUUGGAAUCAAUACCCUGAAAGAAGCCAUAGUUAAUUGUUAACAUUACAGGUAAAAUCUAUAUCUUUACUUUACAUCUGGAGUAAUUCAAACGUAAUGUCUACAACAUACUACAAUUGCUCGUAACUAACCUGACCUAUGUUACACAUAUUUGAUCUUCUGUCUUAGGAUUUAACUGAAACAAAAAUUGCUAUUCUGAGACUCCUAUUUACUCAAAAAUGUUUUGAAAUAAAAUUAAUUUUUUUCUCAUCCUUCAA
Zootermopsis nevadensis is the source of this 1429-nucleotide long non-coding RNA. RefSeq lists it as uncharacterized. The record is from RefSeq and is a predicted model, not a curated record. Lineage: Eukaryota; Metazoa; Arthropoda; Insecta; Blattodea; Termopsidae.